UGAACACAAUAACAAAGGGAGAUGUCACAAUAGCCAGUAAAUCCUUAUGUGGUGUUUGUACAAGUAGAGUGUCUCAUUAACAAGAGAUUUAGUAACAGAUAGUUAUCAUAAACAUUUGUACACGCGUGCUCCCUUCACAGACACCUUCUGCUGCGAGUGGGGCGACAGUAGUUGUCUAGUGGUCGUGGUGACGUUUUCAAGCAGCGGGAAUCACCAAGGAAGACAAGCAGUCCAAGGCUUCACCACAAGCUCCCACACUGCCUUAUCUUCAUCAAUUAAAGGCUCAGACGUGUAGAUGGAAGCAAUUGAAGGAAGAAGAAAGAGAAAUAAAGGAGGAAGACCAAGAAGAAACGAGAAAUAGAGGCGGAAUAGAAGAAGGUGCCAAGGUGUAAUAUUUAGACAGACCUACAGACGACCACCGCACGGAAGAGCAACGACUUACGUGCCUCAGACAGUCAGUUCUCCUAGGGCGGUGUCAGUGGCAUCCCGAAGCAGCGCAUGUGUGACGGCUUCAGUGACUGCAGUAACGGAGAGGAUGAGUUUGUGCAGCUGUGUGGCAUUGACGAGUGCCAGGAGAAGAAUGUCGGGUGUGUGUGAGCACCUGUGCAUCAACACUCGAGAGUCAUACUGCUACUACUGCCAGUGCCGGACAUGCAGAAUACAGACUCGUCAGGAAGUUCAACUGUGAAGACGUUGACGAGUGCGUGGAGACGCCAGAUCCUCUCCAGCAACGGUCAGGAGAAGACGGUCAUUGAAGUAUCAAGUCCCCAAGCUGGCAUGGUGGUGGGUGUUGUGCUGGGCUCUCUUGGGGUUUUUUGCCUAGCUGUUGGUAUGUUUGUCGGGUUUCUGAAGAUGCGUCGAUGUGUUAUCCACGCAAGCUUCCCCAACCCACCCAGUGUUCCACAAGACGACAGGCACUGAGGAGGACGGGAGCGAGCGGCUGCAUGCACACCUGAACGGGACGACAUUAUAUUCGUCCCACAGGAGUAUGACUACAGCGAAGAAAGCCCAGAAUAAAGUGUUUAGUGACAAUGAUGAUUCAGAACUACUAACACCAAAGGGUUUGGAGUGAACGUGAAAGACAUACAACAGACACCAGACUGCUACUGCUGGUGUUGCCAAACGAACAAGAAGAGCAGGAGGAGGAGGAGGAAGAAGAAGAUGGUGAUUCUUAGAGAGGUGCCAAUGAAGUUCUGAAGGUUGGCCACAAAUCUUCAUCACUAGUGUAGUGUAUUUCAUUGACCAUUUGUAGAGUGGGUGGAUAGAUUUGUAGAUUUUGUAGACAGCUAUCGUUUAUGCCUUAAGGACCAAAUGACCAACGUUUUCACUCAACGUGUUCACUCCAUGCUGGAGUUCACCAUGGAGAAACACGUAGUGAAUGAAGAUAGCGUUCCUUGUUAGGAGACGCCAUCUUCUUAAUGAGGGAGUGUAGCGAGCAUGCUGGCUACUGGCUAGUCACACAUCAACAGCUGUGUCUUGCUGCCAGGCCAUGACAGAAAAUUAGUACCAAGUAAUAGUUGGUAAGGGUAGUAGUAGUAGUAGUAGUAGUGGAGUGCUUCUCACCCUCUUGCAAGGUGUGAUGUAGACGUGGCUCUGUCUGUAGUGAUCACAACAACCUGUUCCUUCUUGUGUCUCGAAGAUAGACCACAAAAGUGUCCUUUUUGUUUUCUGGGGUGAAGCACAAAGGUAUUGUUACGUAACGUGUUUCCGAAGAUGAUGUUUUGUGAGUCUUUCAAUGCAAUACUUAAUUUAAGUUUCUGGCCAAUGUGUUACCACGUGGUGCAGUUUUUGUUACUUGUAUUUAUUUUUCAUACCUAUUGAUAUGGCAUUAUUUUGUGAAUGAUACUCCUGUAUAUUUCUAAGGCAACACAAUAUCUCUUGAU
This is a long non-coding RNA of Portunus trituberculatus (swimming crab), 1883 nucleotides long. RefSeq lists it as uncharacterized. NCBI's taxonomy places the organism in Eukaryota, Metazoa, Arthropoda, Malacostraca, Decapoda, Portunidae. The transcript has 8 exons. The record is from RefSeq and is a predicted model, not a curated record.